This 1008-nucleotide long non-coding RNA is filed under the name Canis lupus familiaris (dog). RNAcentral describes it as "lncRNA (ENSCAFG00000050760.1)". Lineage: Eukaryota; Metazoa; Chordata; Mammalia; Carnivora; Canidae. The record is from RNAcentral.
GGGGGAGGGGAGGAGAGGGGGUCGGGCUGGGUCGCCCCGCCGGCGGCCGCUGCAGAUCAAAACCGCGGGCUGGGUGGCGUCGCCGCUCCCCGCUCCCCGCUCCUCGACUCCGGCUCGCUCGGCCUCCCUACCUCCCUCUGCCCCCACCCCCCUCGCGCUCGCCUGCCCUCCCCCCACCCCCCCAGCUCUCGCUCGCUCUCGCCGCGGCUCCGCCAGCCCAGUGCAAAUCAAAAUACUGCCACACAAUAUGGCGGCGCGGCGCCGGCAAACACCGCGAGAUCUGCGGCCGCUGCUGAGGCGGCGGCUGUGACGAGGCCUCCCCCAGCCGGCCGGCGGCGGCGGCGGCGGCGCGGGGAUGCUCUUUCCCCGCCCUGCACCCCUCCCCCGACGCUCGCAGACUCCACGCCCGCCUCGCGAAGGCCGGAGCGGGAGGCUGCUCGGCGACGCGGCCGGGCGCGGGCCGCCGCCGCCGCCGCCGGGGCAGUGCGAGAGGGGCCGCGGUCGCAGGGAGGCGGGGAGAGCCCGCGAGCCUACAUGUUUAAAUGCCGACCUCCCGUACUUUGCAGAGCGGCGCGUGUGCGUGUGCGUGUGCGUGUGCGUGUUCGUGCGUCCGCGCGUGCGGAGAAAGUGCAAGUCCUCCGCCCCGCCGCGGCCGAGAGGCGAGAACUGCCGCUCCGCCUGCGCGGCCCGUCCGGAAGCGGGCAGCGGGACCGGCCCGGGGUCGGCGGCGCCCGCGCGGGGGCGGGGGGGGGGGGAAGCCGGGGGCAGCAGGUGGGCCCGCGGCGGAGGCGGCGGAGGCGGCGGAGGGCCCGCGACACACCCCCUCGGAGGCCGCCGGCUGACGGCGUGACCCGGCCGCGGCCCGCAGCGCCCGCAGCGCGUGCGGCGGGAGCCCCGGCAGCCCCGGCAGCCCCGGCAGCCCCGGCAGCCCCGGCGCUCCCACCUUGCAGACCUGAGAAGCCUCGGACUCCUGAGGUUGGGGUUAGAACGCUCGGAAGAAAACUCUAG